CCUACGGGAGGCAGCAGUGAGGAAUAUUGGUCAAUGGGCGAGAGCCUGAACCAGCCAAGUCGCGUGAGGGAGUACUGCCCUAUGGGUUGUAAACCUCUUUUGUCGGGGAGCAAAAGCCGGACGUGUCCGGCUGUGAGAGUACCCGAAGAAAAAGCAUCGGCUAACUCCGUGCCAGCAGCCGCGGUAAUACGGAGGAUGCGAGCGUUAUCCGGAUUUAUUGGGUUUAAAGGGUGCGCAGGCGGAUUUUUAAGUCAGCGGUAAAAUCGUGGGGCUCAACCCCAUCCAGCCGUUGAAACUGGGGAUCUAGAGUGUGCGAGAGGUAUGCGGAAUGCGUGGUGUAGCGGUGAAAUGCAUAGAUAUCACGCAGAACCCCGAUUGCGAAGGCAGCAUACCGGUGCACAACUGACGCUCAGGCAUGAAAGCGUGGGUAUCGAACAGGAUUAGAUACCCUGGUAGUC
This 458-nucleotide ribosomal RNA is filed under the name uncultured bacterium. RNAcentral describes it as "partial 16S ribosomal RNA". It matches the Rfam family "Bacterial small subunit ribosomal RNA", at positions 338 to 795 of the family's 1533-position model. The record is from RNAcentral.